RNAcentral lists this non-coding RNA (46 nucleotides) under Schistosoma bovis. Lineage: Eukaryota; Metazoa; Platyhelminthes; Trematoda; Strigeidida; Schistosomatidae. RNAcentral also lists the same sequence under 1 other name. The record is from RNAcentral.
ACCCAGCUGAUGAGUCCUAAGAAAGGACGAAACAAAUGUCAUGGAU